GCGCCCCCGGCCCGGCUUAGCGCUGGGCUCUCGGGGCCCCAGGGAUCCCCGGCAGCCGCGCGCCGGGCCCCGGGCUCGGUGCCAGCGGGUGUGUCCAUCGUCCGCUCGCCGCCCCCGCCCCCACGCCGUGACUCCCGGCUCGCCCGGCUCCGUGGCGGCUCCGGAUAGACUCCCGGCGCGUGGCGGGGCUUCUGGGCCAUGGCCUCCCGGUUCUGAGAGUCCAGGGUUGAAGCAUCCGGACCGAAGGGAGCUUCCAUUCUGCUCCCUCAACACCUGAGGAAACUGGUGGAAAAGUUUGAGGAAGAGAAGUCCAAUCGUCUGCCAGCUUCCGCCCUUUCUGUGACACCACGGCCACGAGAAGGAGCAGGAAACGUCCACAUCUCCGGAGGACCACCGUGAGCCACGCCAAUCCUGUCUUCUUGCAUCUGCCCUGCCUCCCGGAGCAUGUGCGAACUUUUCUGUUUUCACAGACCUCCCUGGGCUGCCCAGACCACACAGGCCUGUCUGCCUGCUCUGACACUCCAGCUGCAGCCACUACCCAGCCAGCCCUCCCAAGGUCCACACUGACUGAGCCUUCCCCUCUCCCUGUGCGUGCUGUCUACGCAGACCCUAAGUGGAACACUAAGAGAAACUUUGGCUGAAGACCUGUGGCUACCGGCUGGGGGCUUUCUCAUCCCGACAGAACAUUUUUUUUUUCUUUGCCUGUCUUCCUUGGCUUACUAACUCUGCAGAACUUCUGAAGCUGCACUACACACUUUCUGUACCCAGGAGGAAGAACUCCUGAAUACAUGGCCAGUGGAAAGAUGAAUGUCAACAACAUGGCACAGAGGCUUCACUGCUGGAACCAGUGGUGACAAGGUGCUCAAGUCCUGCAGAGGUGGGCAGUGAGCAAGCGCUGCUCGGGCCCCCUGUGCUGGGUCAGUUAUUGCCGCACCUGAACAUCAGUGGCCUGGUUUACCCCAACGCAAAGGAAGAAAAGGUCCUAGGAGGACAGAGAAGAGGGAAGGAUUGAUACUCGGACUGAUCCCCAAGGAGUUCAGAGAGAAGGGUGGUGUAUCCCUUCUCACCUUGGGAACAGUACAUGGAGGUGAGAGUGUGCCCAGGCUUGGGCUUCAUGUGUCUGCAUUCUUGUGCUUCUCCUCUCUGCAUGAGAUCACCUGGAUGAGCCACAGUUGUAGAAGGGAGAGACUCAAGCAGCAGCCCGAACUCAUGCUUAGCUCAGUGCAGCCAACCCCAGAGAACCUGCAAAGCCCUGAUUGGAAAGAAAGGCUUUCACUGUGAGGCUCUGAGACUUGGGGGAUUAUGUCCUACAGAGCAUUAUCAUGGAAAAACU
This is a long non-coding RNA of Psammomys obesus (fat sand rat), 1333 nucleotides long. RefSeq lists it as uncharacterized. NCBI's taxonomy places the organism in Eukaryota, Metazoa, Chordata, Mammalia, Rodentia, Muridae. The record is from RefSeq and is a predicted model, not a curated record. The transcript is spliced from 5 exons.